UACAGAGGUCCCAAACGUUAUUCGGAAUCACUGGGCAUAAAGGGCGCGUAGGCGGCUCCAAAAGUCAGGGGUGAAAUCCGGCAGCUUAACUGUCGCAGUGCCUUUGAUACUGUGGAGCUAGAGGGAGGUAGGGGUCUGUGGAACUUCCGGUGGAGCGGUGAAAUGCGUUGAUAUCGGAAGGAACGCCGGUGGCGAAAGCGACGGACUGGAUCUCUUCUGACGCUGAGGCGCGAAAGCCAGGGGAGCAAACGGG
Molecule: ribosomal RNA, 253 nt
Filed under: uncultured bacterium
Lineage: Bacteria
Description: partial 16S ribosomal RNA
Rfam family: Bacterial small subunit ribosomal RNA
Source: RNAcentral